GGCUCCGUAGUGAAGUUCAUAGUGAGUUGCAAGCUCAUUGAUGUGCAUAGUCAUGCGCCGGGGCCU
RNAcentral lists this transfer RNA (66 nucleotides) under Gnorimopsar chopi (Chopi blackbird). RNAcentral's name for it is "tRNA-Cys". Lineage: Eukaryota; Metazoa; Chordata; Aves; Passeriformes; Icteridae. The record is from RNAcentral.